UACGUAGGGUGCAAGCGUUGUCCGGAAUUAUUGGGCGUAAAGAGCUCGUAGGCGGUUUGUCACGUCGGAUGUGAAACCCUGAGGCUCAACCUCAGGCCUGCAUUCGAUACGGGCAGACUAGAAUUCGGCAGGGGAGACUGGAAUUCCUGGUGUAGCGGUGAAAUUCGUAGAUAUCGGGAGGAACACCAGUGGCGAAGGCGGCGAUCUGGGUCGAUACUGACGCUGAGGUGCGAAAGCGUGGGGAGCAAACAGG
RNAcentral lists this ribosomal RNA (253 nucleotides) under uncultured bacterium. Its description in RNAcentral is "partial 16S ribosomal RNA". It matches the Rfam family "Bacterial small subunit ribosomal RNA", at positions 524 to 776 of the family's 1533-position model. The record is from RNAcentral.